UUGGGCUGGGCGCUGCCAUGGAAACUGGAGGCUGUGGUUGUAUUGUCAUAGUAACUGCUGUGUGUAGGCCGGGUGACCCUCCCGUGGAGAAACGGGUUCCCGGGAAACCGCCCAGGAUUCCCGGCUUGGAUUCCCUGCCUUUUUAAAAGGCUGGGAGUCGAGAUUGUUAUCCGAGCAGGAAAGUCCGUUUCUUCCCUUACUCUCCCAGCAAAAUUUGGGGGAGACCCGGAGGCAUUCAUUCUGGGCAUUUCCAACCUUCCAAGGGUGAAAACCACCUCCAUAGUUUUCUCCCAGAGCCGGGUGGUGAGAGGACCCGGCCCGAGAAGGAAACGCAGAAUCGCUUUCCAGGUCUUUCUCUGAAUCCAACGCCUGUUAACCUCGAACAAUGUUUAUUUGGAACAUGUUUCAGUUCUCAGGAAACGAAAGUACAGCCCACUUGCAAAUAAGUCUCAAGGACAGCUUGUCAUUAACGAAACAGAAAGUGAACUCUGCCCCCUCAUGCAGCAAGCAAGCGCGAGUAUUGUGCGCUGUGACGCGCAAGGCAACUGCAGCAGUACAAUGGCCCCUGUCUUCCACCAGCACCAACGCGCUGCCCACUCAUGGAAAAGAGAGCCACCUAGUGAGAAACUGUUUACAUCUCCGCUGUGUAGCGUUCAACUCUGAAAGUCAAAGGAUGGAAGUUACUACUGUAUAUACCCAAAUAUUCUAGUUUGUUUUCUUUAAAGUUAGCACACAGAGUGAUAGGUUCCAUUAUGGCGCGCGCGCGCGCACACGCACGCACACACACACACACACACACACACACACACACACACUCUUUAUUCUCUCCCCCCACUAAUUUCCUUCAUACUAUUUUCCUCCCCCUCUUAGUCCUCCAUUCUGCUUUCAUUGUCUGGUGAAUUCCACACCACUUCCCUCCCUUAAGACUCUGUCUUCCCUUUUCAUGGUCCUGUUUGAACUUUCAUGAUGCAUACACAUUAUAAACACAGAUGCUGUGUAUGAGAGAAAGAAAAUGUAUUUGUCUUUUUUCAGUAUGGCUUAUUUUUCUUAAUGUUUGACCUCCAGUUCCUUGCUUGAAAAACUCCAUUAUGUAUAUGUACAUUUUCUCAUCUGUUGAUGGGCACAUAAGCUGGUUCUAUUUCUUAGCUAUAAGGAAUAGUGCAACAAUAAAUAUGAAUGCGCCAGGA
Rattus norvegicus (Norway rat) is the source of this 1187-nucleotide non-coding RNA. The record is from RefSeq and is a predicted model, not a curated record. NCBI's taxonomy places the organism in Eukaryota, Metazoa, Chordata, Mammalia, Rodentia, Muridae.